UUGUAAUUUGGAGAAGGUGCUUCGGGAACGACCGCGGCCCAAGUCCCAUGGAACUGGGCGUCGUAGAGGGUGAGAAUCCCGUAUGCGGCCGACGGUCCGACCCGCGUGAAGCCCUUUCGACGAGUCGAGUUGUUUGGGAAUGCAGCUCUAAAUGGGUGGUAAAUUCCAUCUAAGGCUAAAUAUCUGCCGGAGACCGAUAGCGCACAAGUAGAGUGAUCGAAAGAUGAAAAGCACUUUGAAAAGAGAGUGAAACAGCACGUGAAAUUGUUGAAAAGGAAGCGCUUGCAACCAGACUCGUUGGCAGGGUUCAGCCGCGCUUCGGUGUGGUGUACUCCCUGCGAUCGGGCCAGCAUCGGUUUCGGCGGCCGGACAAAGGCCCCGGGAAUGUAGCUCCCUUCGGGGAGUGUUAGAGCCCGGGGUACAAUGCGGCCUGCCGGGACCGAGGACCGCGCUCUGCUAGGAUGCUGGCGUAAUGGUUGCCAGCGACCCGUCUUGAAACACGGAUCAAGGAGUUGACCUACUGUGCGAGUAUUUGGGCGUCAAACCCAGAUGCGCAAUGAAAGUGAGUUUAGGUGGGAGCCCCCGGGCGCACCAUCGACCGAUCUUGAUGUCUUCGGACGGAUUUGAGUACGAGCAUAAUGGGUCUGACCCGAAAGACGGUGAGCUAUGCGUGAAUAGGGUGAAGCCAGAGGAAACUCUGGUGGAGGCUCGCAGCGGUUCUGACGUGCAAAUCGAUCGUCAAAUUUGCGCAUAGGGGCGAAAGACUAAUCGAACCGUCUAGUAGCUGGUUCCUGUCGAAGUUUCCCUCAGGAUAGCAGCAACGAACGUAGUAGUCUCAUGAGGUAGAGCGAACGAUUAGAGGCCUUGGGGUCGGAACUGACCUUAACCUAUUCUCGAACUUCGAAUAUGUGAGAAGUCCUUGUUACUUUGUUGAA
Molecule: ribosomal RNA, 935 nt
Filed under: Diorygma minisporum
Lineage: Eukaryota; Fungi; Ascomycota; Lecanoromycetes; Ostropales; Graphidaceae
Description: LSU rRNA
Rfam family: Eukaryotic large subunit ribosomal RNA
Source: RNAcentral